UACGUAGGGUGCAAGCGUUGUCCGGAAUUAUUCGGCGUAAAGAGCUUGUAGGCGGUUUGUCGCGUCUGCUGUGAAAUUUCGGGGCUCAACCCCGAACUUGCAGUGGGUACGGGCAGACUAGAGUGUGGUAGGGGAGACUGGAAUUCCUGGUGUAGCGGUGAAAUGCGCAGAUAUCAGGAGGAACACCGAUGGCGAAGGCAGGUCUCUGGGCCAUAACUGACGCUGAGAAGCGAAAGCAUGGGGAGCGAACAGG
Molecule: ribosomal RNA, 253 nt
Filed under: uncultured bacterium
Lineage: Bacteria
Description: partial 16S ribosomal RNA
Rfam family: Bacterial small subunit ribosomal RNA
Source: RNAcentral